RNAcentral lists this ribosomal RNA (301 nucleotides) under uncultured bacterium. RNAcentral's name for it is "partial 16S ribosomal RNA". It matches the Rfam family "Bacterial small subunit ribosomal RNA", at positions 509 to 809 of the family's 1533-position model. The record is from RNAcentral.
CAGUAGCCGCGGUAAUACGAAGGGGGCUAGCGUUGUUCGGAAUUACUGGGCGUAAAGCGCACGUAGGCGGAUAUUUAAGUCAGGGGUGAAAUCCCAGAGCUCAACUCUGGAACUGCCUUUGAUACUGGGUAUCUUGAGUAUGGAAGAGGUGAAUGGAAUUCCGAGUGUAGAGGUAAAAUUCGUAGAUAUUCGGAGGAACACCAGUGGCGAAGGCGGCUCACUGGUCCAUUACUGACGCUGAGGUGCGAAAGCGUGGGGAGCAAACAGGAUUAGAUACCCGCGUAGUCCCUGUCUCUUAUAA